AGCAGUAGCCGCGGUAAUACAGAGGGUGCGAGCGUUAAUCGGAUUUACUGGGCGUAAAGCGUGCGUAGGCGGCUUCUUAAGUCGGAUGUGAAAUCCCUGAGCUUAACUUAGGAAUUGCAUUCGAUACUGGGAAGCUAGAGUAUGGGAGAGGAUGGUAGAAUUCCAGGUGUAGCGGUGAAAUGCGUAGAGAUCUGGAGGAAUACCGAUGGCGAAGGCAGCCAUCAGGCCUAAUACUGACGCUGAGGUACGAAAGCAUGGGGAGCAAACAGGAUUAGAUACCCCUGUAGUCCCUGUCUCUUAUAA
This 303-nucleotide ribosomal RNA is filed under the name uncultured bacterium. RNAcentral's name for it is "partial 16S ribosomal RNA". It matches the Rfam family "Bacterial small subunit ribosomal RNA", at positions 507 to 809 of the family's 1533-position model. The record is from RNAcentral.